RNAcentral lists this ribosomal RNA (408 nucleotides) under uncultured bacterium. Its description in RNAcentral is "partial 16S ribosomal RNA". It matches the Rfam family "Bacterial small subunit ribosomal RNA", at positions 28 to 526 of the family's 1533-position model. The record is from RNAcentral.
GACGAACGCUGGCGGCGUGCCUAAUACAUGCAAGUCGAGCGAAGCGGCGGAAGGGUGAGUAACGCGUGGGUAACCUGCCCUUAAGUCUGGGAUAACAUUUGGAAACAGAUGCUAAUAACGGAUACUAAAGGAUGGACCUGCGAUGCAUUAGCUAUUUGGUAAGGUAACGGCUUACCAAGGCGAUGAUGCAUAGACGAGUUGAGAGACAGAUAGGCCACAUGGUGACUGCGAAAAGGCCCAAACUCCUACGUGAGGCAGCAGUAGGGAAUCUGCCACAAUGGACGAAAGUCUGAUGGAGCAACGCCGCGUGAGUGAAGAAGGUUUUCGGAUCGUAAAGCUCUGUUGUUGGUGAAGCGUUAAUCAACCAGAAAGUCACGGCUAACUACGUGCCAGCAGCCGCGGUAAUUC